This 109-nucleotide small nuclear RNA is filed under the name Strigops habroptila (Kakapo). RNAcentral's name for it is "U1 spliceosomal RNA (ENSSHBG00005008350.1)". It matches the Rfam family "U1 spliceosomal RNA", at positions 13 to 122 of the family's 166-position model. Rfam says of the family: U1 is a small nuclear RNA (snRNA) component of the spliceosome (involved in pre-mRNA splicing). Its 5' end forms complementary base pairs with the 5' splice junction, thus defining the 5' donor site of an intron. Lineage: Eukaryota; Metazoa; Chordata; Aves; Psittaciformes; Psittacidae. The record is from RNAcentral.
CAAGGGAGAUGCUAUGAUCAAGCAGGUGGUUUUCCCAGGACAAGGCUCAUCCUCUGCACUCUGGGUGUGCUGACGCCUGCAACAUCCCCAAAUGUGGGAAACUCGACUG